This 465-nucleotide ribosomal RNA is filed under the name Vreelandella stevensii. RNAcentral's name for it is "partial 16S ribosomal RNA". It matches the Rfam family "Bacterial small subunit ribosomal RNA", at positions 338 to 795 of the family's 1533-position model. Lineage: Bacteria; Pseudomonadati; Pseudomonadota; Gammaproteobacteria; Oceanospirillales; Halomonadaceae. The record is from RNAcentral.
CCUACGGGUGGCUGCAGUGGGGAAUAUUGGACAAUGGGGGGAACCCUGAUCCAGCCAUGCCGCGUGUGUGAAGAAGGCCCUCGGGUUGUAAAGCACUUUCAGUGAGGAAGAACGCCUGGUGGUUAAUACCCAUCAGGAAAGACAUCACUCACAGAAGAAGCACCGGCUAACUCCGUGCCAGCAGCCGCGGUAAUACGGAGGGUGCGAGCGUUAAUCGGAAUUACUGGGCGUAAAGCGCGCGUAGGUGGCUUGAUAAGCCGGUUGUGAAAGCCCCGGGCUCAACCUGGGAACGGCAUCCGGAACUGUCAAGUUAGAGUGCAGGAGAGGAAGGUAGAAUUCCCGGUGUAGCGGUGAAAUGCGUAGAGAUCGGGAGGAAUACCAGUGGCGAAGGCGGCCUUCUGGACUGACACUGACACUGAGGUGCGAAAGCGUGGGUAGCAAACAGGAUUAGAUACCCUGGUAGUC